Long non-coding RNA from Panicum virgatum (switchgrass), 801 nucleotides. RefSeq lists it as uncharacterized. The record is from RefSeq and is a predicted model, not a curated record. The transcript is spliced from 4 exons. NCBI's taxonomy places the organism in Eukaryota, Viridiplantae, Streptophyta, Magnoliopsida, Poales, Poaceae.
GUGGGAGGUUCAAAUUGAGAGAUACCUUGAGAAGCAGAAGGUUGAGUUGGAGAAACAACUUGGAUCUCAGAAGGACUAUUUUGAUCAACAACUCUCUCGUGUGAAAGAUGAAUUGAACAAAAAGAGUUUUGAGUGCAAGCUUGAAAUAAAGAAUGUUAAGGGGAACACAAAGCUUGUGGCUCAGAAUUACUACUCCUUCAAAGGUCACCACGAUCUAAAAUGAAGGAGGUGCAACUGAGUGUUCUCAAAACAACAGAAAGUGUGUCUGCAGGGUUCAGUGGUGUUAUCAUUGCAUACGUAAACAUUAAGGAUCACCUGAAAGAUAUCAAGGACUGGUUUGGUUUCUGAGACAUGGGAAAUUUAGGAUCACCUGAAAAGGUACCUCUAAUCAACUAACCGCCUCUCGUCUAAUCUACCCACAGGUAACGUCUCCACACACACACUCCGCUCUCUUCCUCUAAACCCUAACCCUAGUGAUCCUAAUCAUGAGAGUUCUUGACCUCUUCCUCUAAACCCUAACCCUCACGAUCCUAAUCCUCAAUCUAGCAGCAAGUGAAGGAGGCCUGUGAACUGUACAAGUUUGUGACCAGGCUGAGCCGCCAGGUAUUCGUCGAGUCUUUCUGGUUGGUUGUAAUAAUUGAUGUUUGGUGUUACUGGUAGUACAUAUGGUAUGAGAUUCUUGGCUUACUUUUUUGAAAUUUAUUAUACAAGAAUCUUCCGUGGACCCUAUGCUCACACUACACCAAGAAGAUCUUCACCUAAACACUAAUAUGAGACAACAUCUCUAUAUGAAAACUCAAC